UACAGAGGGUGCGAGCGUUAAUCGGAAUUACUGGGCGUAAAGCGCGCGUAGGUGGAUUUUUAAGUUGGAUGUGAAAUACCCGGGCUCAACCUGGGGGCGUCAUUCAAGACUGGGAGUCUAGAGUACAGUAGAGGGAAGUGGAAUUUCCGGUGUAGCGGUGAAAUGCGUAGAUAUCGGAAGGAACAUCAGUGGCGAAGGCGGCUUCCUGGACUGAUACUGACACUGAGGUGCGAAAGCGUGGGGAGCAAACAGG
RNAcentral lists this ribosomal RNA (253 nucleotides) under uncultured bacterium. RNAcentral's name for it is "partial 16S ribosomal RNA". It matches the Rfam family "Bacterial small subunit ribosomal RNA", at positions 524 to 776 of the family's 1533-position model. The record is from RNAcentral.